RNAcentral lists this ribosomal RNA (468 nucleotides) under uncultured bacterium. RNAcentral describes it as "partial 16S ribosomal RNA". It matches the Rfam family "Bacterial small subunit ribosomal RNA", at positions 28 to 507 of the family's 1533-position model. The record is from RNAcentral.
GACGAACGCUGGCGGCGUGCUUAACACAUGCAAGUCGAACGGAAAGGCCCUGCUUUUGUGGGGUGCUCGAGUGGCGAACGGGUGAGUAACACGUGAGUAACCUGCCCUUGACUUUGGGAUAACUUCAGGAAACUGGGGCUAAUACCGGAUAUGAGCUCCUGCUGCAUGGUGGGGGUUGGAAAGUUUCGGCGGUUGUGGCUGGACUCGCGGCUUCUCAGCUUGUUGGUGGGGUAGUUGCUUACCAAGGCUUUGACGGGUAGCCGGCCUGAGAGGGGGACCGGACAAAGUGGGACUGAGAUAAGGCACAGACUAAUACGGGAGGCAGAAGUGGGGAAGAUUGCACAAUGGGCGGGAGGAUGAGGCAGCAAAGCCGCGUGCGGGAUGACGGGCUGCGGGUUGGAAACCGAUUUCGCCUGUGACGAAGCGUGAGUGACGGUAAUGGGUAAAGAAGCACCGGCUAACUACGUG